GAUGAAGAACGCAGCGAAAUGCGAUAAGUAAUGUGAAUUGCAGAAUUCCGUGAAUCAUCGAAUCUUUGAACGCACCUUGCGCCCUUUGGCUAUUCCGAAGGGCAUGCCUGUUUGAGUAUCAUGAAAACCUCAACUCUCAUGGCUUGCCAUGAUGAGCUUGGACUCUGGGGGUCUUGCUGGCUUUACGGUCAGCUCCUCUCAAAUAAAUCAGCUUGCCGGUGUUUGGUGGGAUCACAGGUGUGAUAACUAUCUACGCUUGUGGUUUUCCGCCAGGUAACCUUCAGCAAUGGAGGUUCGCUGGAGCUCAUAAAUGUCUCUCCUCAGCGAGGACAGAUUUUGACCGUUUGAUCUCAAAUCAGGUAGGACUACCCGCUGAACUUAAGCAUAUCAAUAAGCGGAGGA
This 402-nucleotide unclassified non-coding RNA is filed under the name soil metagenome. RNAcentral's name for it is "partial contains 5.8S ribosomal RNA, internal transcribed spacer 2, and large subunit ribosomal RNA". The stretch from base 1 to 121 matches the Rfam family "5.8S ribosomal RNA", at positions 35 to 154 of the family's 154-position model. The record is from RNAcentral.